UACGUAGGGUGCAAGCGUUAAUCGGAAUUACUGGGCGUAAAGCGUGCGCAGGCGGCUUUGCAAGACAGAUGUGAAAUCCCCGGGCUUAACCUGGGAACUGCAUUUGUGACUGCAUGGCUGGAGUGCGGCAGAGGGGGAUGGAAUUCCGCGUGUAGCAGCGAAAUGCGUAGAUAUGCGGAGGAACACCGAUGGCGAAGGCAGUCCCCUGGGCCUGCACUGACGCUCAUGCACGAAAGCGUGGGGAGCAAACAGG
RNAcentral lists this ribosomal RNA (253 nucleotides) under uncultured bacterium. Its description in RNAcentral is "partial 16S ribosomal RNA". It matches the Rfam family "Bacterial small subunit ribosomal RNA", at positions 524 to 776 of the family's 1533-position model. The record is from RNAcentral.